UACGUAGGGUGCGAGCGUUAAUCGGAAUUACUGGGCGUAAAGCGUGCGCAGGCGGUUCUGAAAGUCAGCUGUGAAAGCCCCGGGCUUAACCUGGGAAUUGCGGUUGAAACUACAGGGCUAGAAUCUGGCAGAGGGGGGUGGAAUUCCACGUGUAGCAGUGAAAUGCGUAGAGAUGCGGAGGAACACCGAUGGCGAAGGCAGCCCCCUGGGCCAAUACUGACGCUCAGGCACGAAAGCGUGGGGAGCAAACAGG
This 253-nucleotide ribosomal RNA is filed under the name uncultured bacterium. RNAcentral describes it as "partial 16S ribosomal RNA". It matches the Rfam family "Bacterial small subunit ribosomal RNA", at positions 524 to 776 of the family's 1533-position model. The record is from RNAcentral.